ACGCUGGCGGCGUGCUUAACACAUGCAAGUCGAACGAUGAAGCCUAGCUUGCUAGGUGGAUUAGUGGCGAACGGGUGAGUAAUACGUGAGUAACCUACCUUUAACUCUGGGAUAAGCCUGGGAAACUGGGUCUAAUACCGGAUACGACCAAUCUCCGCAUGGGGUGUUUGUGGAAAGCGUUAUGUAGUGGUUAUAGAUGGGCUCACGGCCUAUCAGCUUGUUGGUGAGGUAACGGCUCACCAAGGCGACGACGGGUAGCCGGCCUGAGAGGGUGACCGGCCACACUGGGACUGAGACACGGCCCAGACUCCUACGGGAGGCAGCAGUGGGGAAUAUUGCACAAUGGGCGCAAGCCUGAUGCAGCGACGCCGCGUGAGGGAUGACGGCCUUCGGGUUGUAAACCUCUGUUAGCAGGGAAGAAGAGAAAUUGACGGUACCUGCAGAGAAAGCGCCGGCUAACUACGUGCCAGCAGCCGCGGUAAUACGUAGGGCGCGAGCGUUGUCCGGAAUUAUUGGGCGUAAAGAGCUUGUAGGCGGUUUGUCGCGUCUGCUGUGAAAGGCCGGGGCUUAACCCCGUGUAUUGCAGUGGGUACGGGCAGACUAGAGUGCAGUAGGGGAGACUGGAACUCCUGGUGUAGCGGUGGAAUGCGCAGAUAUCAGGAAGAACACCGAUGGCGAAGGCGGGUCUCUGGGCUGUAACUGACGCUGAGAAGCGAAAGCAUGGGGAGCGAACAGGAUUAGAUACCCUGGUAGUCCAUGCCGUAAACGUUGGGCACUAGGUGUGGGGGACAUUCCACGUUUUCCGCGCCGUAGCUAACGCAUUAAGUGCCCCGCCUGGGGAGUACGGCCGCAAGGCUAAAACUCAAAGAAAUUGACGGGGGCCCGCACAAGCGGCGGAGCAUGCGGAUUAAUUCGAUGCAACGCG
RNAcentral lists this ribosomal RNA (925 nucleotides) under uncultured bacterium. RNAcentral's name for it is "bacterial SSU rRNA". It matches the Rfam family "Bacterial small subunit ribosomal RNA", at positions 33 to 963 of the family's 1533-position model. The record is from RNAcentral.